ACGUAGCUUGCUACCGGACCUAGCGGCGGACGGGUGAGUAAUGCUUAGGAAUCUGCCUAUUAGUGGGGGACAACAUCUCGAAAGGGAUGCUAAUACCGCAUACGUCCUACGGGAGAAAGCAGGGGAUCUUCGGACCUUGCGCUAAUAGAUGAGCCUAAGUCGGAUUAGCUAGUUGGUGGGGUAAAGGCCUACCAAGGCGACGAUCUGUAGCGGGUCUGAGAGGAUGAUCCGCCACACUGGGACUGAGACACGGCCCAGACUCCUACGGGAGGCAGCAGUGGGGAAUAUUGGACAAUGGGGGGAACCCUGAUCCAGCCAUGCCGCGUGUGUGAAGAAGGCCUUAUGGUUGUAAAGCACUUUAAGCGAGGAGGAGGCUACUUUAGUUAAUACCUAGAGAUAGUGGACGUUACUCGCAGAAUAAGCACCGGCUAACUCUGUGCCAGCAGCCGCGGUAAUACAGAGGGUGCGAGCGUUAAUCGGAUUUACUGGGCGUAAAGCGUGCGUAGGCGGCUUAUUAAGUCGGAUGUGAAAUCCCCGAGCUUAACUUGGGAAUUGCAUUCGAUACUGGUGAGCUAGAGUAUGGGAGAGGAUGGUAGAAUUCCAGGUGUAGCGGUGAAAUGCGUAGAGAUCUGGAGGAAUACCGAUGGCGAAGGCAGCCAUCUGGCCUAAUACUGACGCUGAGGUACGAAAGCAUGGGGAGCAAACAGGAUUAGAUACCCUGGUAGUCCAUGCCGUAAACGAUGUCUACUAGCCGUUGGGGCCUUUGAGGCUUUAGUGGCGCAGCUAACGCGAUAAGUAGACCGCCUGGGGAGUACGGUCGCAAGACUAAAACUCAAAUGAAUUGACGGGGGCCCGCACAAGCGGUGGAGCAUGUGUUUUAAUUCGAUGCAACGCGAAGAACCUUACCUGGCCUUGACA
Molecule: ribosomal RNA, 918 nt
Filed under: Acinetobacter baumannii
Lineage: Bacteria; Pseudomonadati; Pseudomonadota; Gammaproteobacteria; Moraxellales; Moraxellaceae
Description: bacterial SSU rRNA
Rfam family: Bacterial small subunit ribosomal RNA
Source: RNAcentral